This is a long non-coding RNA of Quercus lobata, 603 nucleotides long. RefSeq lists it as uncharacterized. NCBI's taxonomy places the organism in Eukaryota, Viridiplantae, Streptophyta, Magnoliopsida, Fagales, Fagaceae. The record is from RefSeq and is a predicted model, not a curated record. The transcript is spliced from 3 exons.
UAGAGGCAAUCUUUUCACAGCAAACUCCGCUACGAGAAAAGAAAAAAAAAAAAGAAAGACUUGCGCCACAUUGGAGAUUCGAGUGAUCAUCGCUAUCCCCUUUUGAGUUUUCCAGACUCUGCGAACCAGUGGAUAUUCGUACGGCCGGCCACUGCCAUACCCUGCCGGACUUAGAGCAUCACAAUCGGCAUCCGUCAAAGCUAAAUACGAUCAAACGCCUCAUAGGUUUUGAGAUACGGAGUUAGAGAUUGGCGAUAUUCUGACGAAAGAUCUAUCAUCUCUGCUCUGGCUUAUAAGACAGUUGGUAUCUAUUCAAGAAGAGCUACUUGAUUAAAUAUAAAGGUCAGGCCAGCCUAAUUUUCCUUUGUUGCUUUUUUUUAAUUUGUAUCUCUUUAUCAUUCGUUAAUGUUUGAUUAAAAAAAACUUUAAACAAAAACAGUUUAAAAAAAGAUGGGUUUUAGUAUUUUUCUUUGAAUUCUUUGGUCUCAAAAUAUCAUCAUUACUUCUUUUUUUUUUUAAUAGCACUGGGAGUAUCGCCCUAUUGAAAAUAGAUGUGUUUAGGAAAGGCCUAGGAGAAAAUAGAACUAUGACAAAUUUAGAAAA